RNAcentral lists this ribosomal RNA (503 nucleotides) under uncultured bacterium. RNAcentral's name for it is "partial 16S ribosomal RNA". It matches the Rfam family "Bacterial small subunit ribosomal RNA", at positions 29 to 523 of the family's 1533-position model. The record is from RNAcentral.
AACGAACGCUGGCGGCGUGUUUAAGACAUGCAAGUCGCACGGGAUAAGACAUGUAGUAAUACUUGUUUUAUUUAGUGGCGCAUGGGUGAGUAACACGUGAAUUACAUGCCCUAUAGUGGGGAAUAGCCCAGGGAAACUUGGAUUAAUACCCCAUGGUAUCGAAAGAUUAAAGGUGGCCGCAAGGCUGUCGCUAUAGGAUUGGUUCGCGCUAUAUCAGCUUGUUGGUGAGGUAACGGCUCACCAAGGCAAUGACGGAUACCUGGUCUGAGAGGACGCUCAGUCACACAUGCACUGAGACACGGUCCAGACACCUACGGGUGGCAGCAGUCGAGAAUAAUUCACAAUGGGGGCAACACGGAUUGUGCAACGGCGCGUGGAGGAUGACGGUCUUCGGAUUGUAAACUCCUGUCAUCUGGGAGAAAGACCUGACGGUAAAUAGCCGCCAGGGUUGAUAGUACCAGAAGAGGAAGGGACGGCUAACUUCGUGCCAGCCGCCGCCGUAA